UGCGAUUCGGAACCAUUCACUG
This 22-nucleotide microRNA is filed under the name Drosophila erecta. RNAcentral describes it as "der-miR-9691-5p". Lineage: Eukaryota; Metazoa; Arthropoda; Insecta; Diptera; Drosophilidae. The record is from miRBase by way of RNAcentral.